This 6948-nucleotide long non-coding RNA is filed under the name Citrus sinensis (sweet orange). Its description in RNAcentral is "long non-coding RNA (CSIN_LNC000676)". The record is from RNAcentral. Lineage: Eukaryota; Viridiplantae; Streptophyta; Magnoliopsida; Sapindales; Rutaceae.
AUAUAUAUUUAAGAAAAAAUUAACAAGCUUCAGCCAGCAAGUAGACUGAGAGCAAUUAAGUUAAAAUAAAAAAUUGAAAUUUGUUAUUAAAAAGAAAUUCUUGAAAUUGAGAUUAGUUGGAGAAACAACCUGAGGCGAAAAAAUAAUGCGGGUGAGGCACGGGGAGAAUCAACGGCCGGUGAGAAUAGUAGGUAGCUCAGAUAGUGUGUCCAUGGAGGAGAGGACUUGGAGGGAAUUAGGGAUUUUCCGGGAGGAUUUUUAAGGGGAGAAAUAACCUGAGGCGAAAAAAUAAUGCGGGUGAGGCACGAGGAGAAUCAACGGCCGGUGAGAAUAGUAGGUAGCUCAAAUAGUGUGUCCAUGGAGGAGAGGACUUGGAGGGAAUUAGGGAUUUUCCGGGAGGAUUUUUAAGGGGAUGGAAGAGUCUUGAGUUUAACUGUACGAACUGUAAUUGUAAGAAUCGGACUCUGCAACUGAAGUCUUUCUCUGUUUUGUUUCUCUGUGAGAUAAGAGAGCGAGAGCGAGAGCGAGAGAGAGGUACAGAGUUGUUUUUAAAUGGGCACUUCUUUUUAAUUUUUUAAUUUUUCCCUGUCCGAGUUUGGGUUGCCCUCCGGUUCGAGUCUUGGAGACUACCGGGUACGGUGUGUCGUGACUUGUGAACGUGGGGAAAUUUUUGUCGAGUUACGAAAUUGCCCUUCGUGUAACGGAUUUCGUCAUGAGUGACAUGUUCUGCUCAGGGCUCUGGCGCAGACUGACAGAAUCUAUGUAAUGGCGUAAAUGAAAAUUACGUCUGCAACACUUCUAUUUUAUCAUAUUUAUAUUUAUUCACACACGAAAAUCAAAUUUUCCGCCAAAAUUUCAAAAAAAAAAAAAAUCACAUUUCCUUCCAAAAAAUUAAAUAAUUUAUUCAUUUUUUUCCAUGACUGACAUAUGACCUUUAAACCUGCUGUACCGUACAUCCGCCUUGGCCGUACAGCAGUUAAAAAAUAAUUAUUUUAUUUUUUAAUGAAUUAAAAGACUAUUUUAUUUUAUAAAAUUUUUAAAAAAUAAUUUUUGUAAUUUUAAAAAAUAAAAAUAUUAUAAUUAUAAGAAUACCGAUGAAUUUAAUCAAACAAAUAAAUCUCAAAAUUCAUGAUGUUAGUUUUUUAUAAUUGUAAUUUCAUUUAGAAAUUAUCAUGUUAAUUUUUCGUAAAUACAAUUUUAUGUAAUGUUUGCAAUAAAAUUAAGUAUAGGGAAGUUUCUUAAUUUUAAUUAUAGGGAAGUUCACAAUAAUUAUAGGGAGCUUUUCUCUUCAUGUUAAUUUUUGUAAACUUCCCUAUAUUUAAUUUAAUUAAAAAAUUAAAUAUAAUUAUAAUUAUAAAAAAAAUAAUUAUAAAAGUUAACAUCUUGGAUUUUUAAAUUUAUUUGUUUUAUUAAAUUUAGGAAUAUUCUUGUAAUUGUAAUUUUUUAUUUUUUAAAUUUUGUAGACUCAGUUGUUUCUACCUUGGAAAUAAUUUUUAUUUUUUAAUUAUUAGGUGUGAAUUUAUUUAUUGGGCUCAUUAAUUUUAACGCAUGACAAAAUAUUGUUAAUAUGUGGGCAGCGUGGUCUUAAAAGGAAGGUAAAAUUAAAUUGAAUAUCAAGCAAGUGAUUAGCUGGAUUUGGAGUUGAUUUUUAUGCCAAAUUUAUCAGCCUAAUUAUUGUUACAUGAUUUUCCCAUCAUGUCUAAUAUUAAUCAGCCUGUUUUAAAUAACUAAUAAAUUAAUUUUAAACAACCAAGAAAUGAAUUAUAUAAACGAACACCAAUUAAUUAGAGCGUCAUAAUUAUGAGAGAUGGCCAUCUGCAUUUUAGAAAUGAUUGCUUCUUUGUAAACGAUUUAAUUGCAUAAAUUUACCUCUUCUAAACUUUCUGUACACAUAGAAAAUGAAUUAAUUUUUGGCACUACUCUUUACUCUUAUAUAUAUAUAUAUAUAGAGGACGAAAAUAUAGAAUUGAAAUUGACUUACAAUAUUUAUAUGACAUGGGUUGGAGCUCUCAACAGUGUUGAGGAGCACCAAUUCGAGUAAUCUUUCUACGAAAAUAUAGAAUUGAGGCAGAUGAAAAAAGAAAUGAAUAUUAACUAAUUAGUUGCAAUUCAUAUUAACUAAUCAUUUUAUCCAGAACAAUGGAUUAUUUGGUCUUUUUAAAUAUUUUGUCAAAGUUUUAUUAUACUAGUUUUAUCAAAGUAGCAUUGCUCAUUUGCCAAUAGCUCAUAGCCUACUCGCCAAAAAAAAAAAAAAAAAAGAGUAGAUAAAAAAACACUUAAUGUUAACUAAUCAGUUGCAAUUCAUGUUAACUAAUCAUUUUAUACAGAACAACGGGCGAUUUAAUCUUUCUAUAUAUUUUGUCAAAAUUUUAUUGUACUACUUUUAUCAAAGUAGCAUUGCUCAUUUGCCAGUGGCUCAAGCCUACUAAGAUUUUUACACGGGUAAAAAGAAAUUAGGUAGGAAUAGAUUGUAAAUAUAUCAAUAAAGUUUUAAUUGUAACAUAUGAUUGGUAUGAAAAAAAAAAGCAUUAUUCGUAAAUGGACACAUGCCCUAGGAUUUUUACAAGGGUUUAAAAAAAAAAAGUGACAAGAGUAGUUCAAUCGGAAAUAUCACCUAAUUAGGGAAUUGGAUGAAUCGAUUAUGUAAAAGAAUACAAGAAUACAAGCAGGAAAUUGCAUGAUUGUGACAAAAAGGAAACUGAUUAUCUAUAUAAUAAUCUAAUUACAUAAUUUUUUUAUUUGAUAGAAUUAAGAAUUUUUUUGAAUUUGUAAAAUUAUUAAUUUUUUAAAAUUAUCAAAAAAAUUGUUCAGAUACAUAAAAGAAUUUAUUAAUGACAUUACCAAAUAUUAUGGAUGCAUAAUUUUCAAUAUUAUGUACAGUACAGAGAGUUGGAUAAUAAGCUCAACAUAUAUUCACAAUUAAAGCUGUUAGACUAAAUUAUGAAUCGUUCAAAACACGAAAAAUAUAGACCCAAUAAAAAUAUUUUCCAUAAAAUAACAUAGCCCAUUCUCUAUAAGAAUAAUCUAAGUAUUUAGAAUUCGAAGUAAAUGUCUAAAUGUAAGAUACAACAAAACGCCAAAAGCGUGAUUCAUUUGUAAAGAAUGACUUAAGUAUACUUUUUACAAAGAACAACAUAGGUCUUAUACUUACAAAGAAUGACUUAGGUCCAUUUUUUUUACAAAGAAUGACAUAGAAAUUUAGAAAAUAUUUCUAAGUAAAAUGUCCAAAGGGUGAGUUUUCAAUGAAGCGCAAAAGUCGUGCUUCUUUAAAGAAUGACCUAGUCCAUUCCUUACAAAGAAUGACAUAGUCCAUUCCUUACAAAGAAUGACCUAAACACUUGGAAAAUAUUUCUGAGUAAAACGCCCAAAGAGCAAGUCUUUGACAAAAUGUCAAAGACAUGAUUCAUCAAAGAAUGACAUAGAUCCAUUUUUUACAAAGAACGACCUAGGUCUAUUCUUUAUAAAUAAUUAUUUAAGCACUUAGAAAAUAUUUUUAAGUAAAACGUUUAAAGGGCAAGUCUUUGACAAAGCACUAAAGGCAUGAUUUAAAGAAAAGCCUAGGUCCAUUGUUUACAAAGAAUCACUUAGAUCCAUUCUUUACAAAGAAUGACCUAGGUCAUUCCUCACAAACCUCACAAAGAAUGACCUACACACUUAUAAAAUAUUUCUAUGUAAGAGCAUACAUGCUAAUAAGCAUUCUAUGGAAUAUGUUUACGGGCAUAUAUACAUUGUAGGGAAUGUGCCUGUGGGCAACUAUAUAUUCUACGGAAUGCGCCUAGGACAAAUACACUUUCUAAAAAUAUGGAUUCUACGGAAUGCGCCUAUGGAGAAAUACACAAUCUAAGGAAUGUGCCUAUGGGCAAAUAGACAUUUUACGGAAUGUGCCUGCGAGCAAAUAUGCAUUCUAUGGAAUGUGCCUAUGGACAAAUAUUUAGUCUAUGGACAAAUACACAAUCUAAAGAAUGUGCCUAUGACAAAUAUAUAUUCUACGGAAUGCGUUUACGGGCAAAUACAUAUUCUACGGAUGCACCUACUAGGAAAUAGACAUUCUAUGAAAUGAGUCUUCAGGCAAAUAUACAUCUUACAGAAUGAGCCUACAUUCUAUGGAGUGGGCCUACGAGCAAAUACACAUUCUAUGGAAUAUGCCUACAUGCAAAUAAAUACAUUCUACAGAAUGCGCUUUCUGGCCACAAACAUUCUACGGAAUGAGCUGACAUGUUAACAAACAUUUUAUGGAAUGUGCUUACGGAAAAAAUAUUGCAAAAUCAAUCCUUUUUGUACGGAACAUGAGUGCCGAAUUCAAGCUCAAGCCUAUUAAAGGUCAAGGGCCCAAAAACAUGAUAAGCGUCUAAAGAAUACUUGUAAUGAAUAAGUAUUGACACAUAUGAAUAUGUGUCUCCAUACAUGGGUUUUGACUGACACUUGUUAUAGGAAAAGUGUAAUAUAAUCUCUCCAAUUGACUCUAAGAUGCUUAUAUAACAGAAAAAAAAACACCCCAUUUAAAGGUAAAAGAAAAAAAGGGCAUAAAAUGAGUAUAAAAACACUGCCCAUCUCACUUUAAAUUUUUUCUCUCUAAACGUUGAGUAAAAUAAAUUGAUGUCAGGGGAUUAUUACAGGCAUAGCAGCCCCCUUUAACAAAUGAGCAAAACAAUUAAUCAUAAGAAGACAUGUGAUUUGAGAUAUUCGCCUUAAGGGGAAAAUAAACCACAAAAUUUAAUUUAGAAAAAUGUUCAAAAUACAAAUCAAUCACUGUACAUUGAGCAAGAAUUUGCAUCAACAAAAGCAAAAAGAAGAAACAUAGAAAAUAAACUCAUAUAUACAAGCUUAGCAUAAAUUCACAAUUAAUUAAAGCCCAAUACGAAAAUCACAUAAAAAUAAACUCUAAAGAAUAAACCAAGGAGGAAUUGACCAAUUCAACUAAAGAAAUUUAUUCAAAUCUUUACAUAAAAAAUUGUCUAUGAAAUCACAUGGUUGUUUAAGCAGAAAUAAUGUAAGAUGUCAAAUUUAAAAUAUAAUGUUAAAAACCCAAAAAGUAACAGUUCGUAACAUAGCAACAUUGUAGAUAGAUAUAAAUUUUUAUAUCUAUCUACAUACAGUAGUGAUGAUAUUUCUAAUAAAUUGUAUUAAAAUAUAAUUCCCUGCCUACUUUUAAAUUUAAGGUUCUUGUAUGAUGCUAUAAUUUUUUUACAGCAUCAAUAAUGUUUUAAUUGUGUACCAUUGAAUUUAAUCAACAAUAUACAAUAUUUGUAUUAAAGAAAAAUAGUUUAAAAAUAAUGGUAAAUAGUUUGUUAACCAUUUAAGGGGUGCAAAAUUUUGUAAAAUAAUUGUGACCACCCUUAGGGUUUGAAGCAAUUCCACUUAAAUAACAUAUUUUAUUUGAAAUUACUUUUCAACCCUACUUUAAAUUUGUAAUGUGAUAAUCUUUUUUAAAUAAAUCUUCCAAAAUAUAUUAUCAUUAAGUAUAAAAUAUGAUAUCAAGUAGGUUAUUUAACACAAAUCAAAUAAAUAAGUUGUAAUUGUAAAAUUUAUAUAUGAUACAACACUAAUAAAUAACACAACUAAGUAUAUAUACUUCAGUAAAUGUCAUAGUUACAUCAAUAAACUCAUUGGUGAGAUUCACUACAAGAAAACUGACAAUAUAUGGUAGCCACUUUAUGACAGAAAUGAUUUCAUAAUAUAAAUAUGAUAGAUUCGUGAUAGAAUUGUGGUCUAUCAAACGAUUAAUGAUGUACUAGUGAUAGAAUCUUUGUAUAUCAAUAAUUUAUGAUAUGUGUAUGAUAGAAUCUUACUCAGUCACAUACAUUAUGAUAGAAAUCUUAUGUUGACAGUGUUUGACUAAAAUUAAAAGUAUUAUUUUAAUUUUUUGAAAAAGUUAAACGCAACAUUUACUUAUGAAAUGAUUUGUGAAAAAACAAAUAAGAAACAAAACAAUGCGUUUAAGCAAAAUUUGAACAAAAAAAAAAAAACCUAUGUCCUAAACACUACACAAUGAAGUCAUCACCACUCUCACUCUCGCGCGCAAAGGCCAUUGAAACCCAAGGCGCAGUUAUCGUCAGUCUCACUCCACAAUCAACUUUGAAAUCCUAGCCACAUUCACCGUUACACCCUCAAUCAAUCAGCCUACACACACCAUAGUCAUCUCCACUCUCACUCGGACAAAGAGCAGUCAAACCCUUAGCACAUUAUCAUCACUGUCACUCUCACAAUCAACGCUUAAAGCCUAGCCAAACUCAUCAUCACACUGUCAAUCGAUAACCUCACUACCACCACCCAAACCCUAACUGUCUAAUUGUUUGCUACAUUUAAGUUUUCUGUACACAAUCAGCCACUACUAGCUCUGAGCAAACGGUAACACCCAAAUAACAUACCCAUUAAUUGAAAUUGAACCAGCCACCAUGACCAUUUGGUGAUGGUGUGACGUGACAUGAACUGUCAACACCUUGACAUCGUCACACACUAGAGGAUUGCAACCCUAAGCCUUCAAUUCCAGGUUUUAUUCUUCUUCUUCACCUAAUUAUGUUUAAGGCCCUAAGUGAUUGAGUGUAAUUUUGUAUUUUGGAGAGUUUACGAGCAAGUGACUGAGUGAAUGACAAAAAUGAGAUGAUGGGUUUAGUUUAGAAGUUGCAUUAGAUGAUAGAGAUAGAGAGAGUGAAGGUUUUUUUUUUUUUCAUUUUCAAUGUAAAGUUAAUACAGUUGGAGAUGGGCAGAGAAAGUUGAGACUGUAUAAGGCUGCUGAUGAGGUUGCUCUGUAUCUGUGUUUGUCAUUUUGCUGGCGAGGAGGCAUGGGGCAAGGUGGUUGCCACCCAUGCUUCCUUAUGCAUAAAUGUGGAAACUUGCAAACCUAGAAAAGGAAAAUACAAAAUAAUAGCAGUAAUCUGGACUUGUUUUUUUUUUUCCUUUUAAUUUGACAAGGUUGUUACUGUUAUAGCUAUGAGAGAGAGAGAGAGA